GACGACGCUGGGCGGCGUGGAUUAGGCAUGCAAGUCGAACGGUAUCAUCCUUUCGGGGGUGAGAGAGUGGCGAACUGGUGAGUAACACGUAGGUUAUCUACCCUCAAGACGGGGACAACCCAGGGAAACUUGGGCUAAUACCGGAUGUGAGCAACUUUUAGUUGUUUGAAAGGUGGCGUAAGCUGUCGCUUGGGGAUGAGCCUGCGUCCUAUUAGUUAGUUGGUGAGGUAACGGCUCACCUAGGCAAUGAUAGGUAGGCGGCCUUAACGGGUGGUCGCCCACACUGGGAUUGAGAUACGGCCCAGACUCCUACGGGAGGCAGCAGUCGAGAAUAGUCUACAAUGGUCGGAAGACUGAUAGUGCGACGCCGCGUGAACGAUGAAUCCCUUCGGGGUGUAAAGUUCUUUUAUAUGUGAGCAGUGCUUCUUAUAUUAACAGUAUGGGGAGAGAGAUAUUAGCAUAUGAAUAAGCAACGGCUAACUCCGUG
Molecule: ribosomal RNA, 487 nt
Filed under: uncultured bacterium
Lineage: Bacteria
Description: bacterial SSU rRNA
Rfam family: Bacterial small subunit ribosomal RNA
Source: RNAcentral